This 876-nucleotide ribosomal RNA is filed under the name uncultured Bacteroidota bacterium. Its description in RNAcentral is "bacterial SSU rRNA". It matches the Rfam family "Bacterial small subunit ribosomal RNA", at positions 62 to 930 of the family's 1533-position model. The record is from RNAcentral. Lineage: Bacteria; Pseudomonadati; Bacteroidota.
UCGAGGGGCAGCACAUGAAGUAGCGAUACGGAUGGUGGCGACCGGCGCACGGGUGAGUAACACGUAUGCAACCUACCUUCAACAGGAGGAUAACCCGUUGAAAGACGGACUAAUACUCCAUGACACAGGGGUCCCGCAUGGGGAUAUUUGUUAAAGAUUAGUCGGUUGAAGAUGGGCAUGCGUUCCAUUAGCUUGUUGGCGGGGUAACGGCCCACCAAGGCAACGAUGGAUAGGGGAACUGAGAGGUUUAUCCCCCACACUGGAACUGAGACACGGUCCAGACUCCUACGGGAGGCAGCAGUGAGGAAUAUUGGUCAAUGGAGGCAACUCUGAACCAGCCAAGUCGCGUGAAGGAUGAAGGUCUUAUGGAUUGUAAACUUCUUUUAUACAGGAAUAAAUUGGGGGACGUGUCCCCCUUUGCAUGUACUGUAUGAAUAAGGAUCGGCUAACUCCGUGCCAGCAGCCGCGGUAAUACGGAGGAUCCGAGCGUUAUCCGGAUUUAUUGGGUUUAAAGGGUGCGCAGGCGGGAUGUUAAGUCGGCGGUGAAAUUUUGCAGCUCAACUGUAAAAGUGCCUUCGAUACUGGCUUCCUUGAGUGUGGAUGAAGUAGGCGGAAUUUGUGGUGUAGCGGUGAAAUGCUUAGAUAUCACGAGGAACUCCGAUUGCGCAGGCAGCUUACUAAGCCACUACUGACGCUCAUGCACGAAGGCGUGGGGAUCAAACAGGAUUAGAUACCCUGGUAGUCCACGCAGUAAACGAUGAUUACUAGUUGUUUGCGAUACAAUGUAAGCGACUGAGCGAAAGCGUUAAGUAAUCCACCUGGGGAGUACGUUCGCAAGAAUGAAACUCAAAGGAAUUGACGGGGGCCCGCACAAGC